RNAcentral lists this ribosomal RNA (478 nucleotides) under uncultured bacterium. RNAcentral describes it as "bacterial SSU rRNA". It matches the Rfam family "Bacterial small subunit ribosomal RNA", at positions 444 to 917 of the family's 1533-position model. The record is from RNAcentral.
AAAGAUUGUGACUAAUAAUUGCAAUUCAUGACGGUAUCAACAGAAGAAGCACCGGCUAACUACGUGCCAGCAGCCGCGGUAAUACGUAGGGUGCGAGCGUUAAUCGGAAUUACUGGGCGUAAAGGGUGCGCAGGCGGUUCUGUAAGUCAGAUGUGAAAUCCCCGGGCUUAACCUGGGAACUGCGUUUGAAACUACAGAGCUAGAGUGUGGCAGAGGGGGGUUGGAAUUCCAUGUGUAGCAGUGAAAUGCGUAGAGAUAUGGAAGAACAUCGAUGGCGAAGGCAGCCCCCUGGGUCAACACUGACGCUCAUGCACGAAAGCGUGGGGAGCAAAACAGGAUUAGAUACCCUGGUAGUCCACGCCCUAAACUAUGUCAACUAGUUGUCGGGCCUUAUUAGGUUUGGUAACGUAGCUAACGCGUGAAGUUGACCGCCUGGGGAGUACGGUCGACAAGAUUAAAACUCAAAGGAAUUGACGGG